This 390-nucleotide ribosomal RNA is filed under the name uncultured bacterium. Its description in RNAcentral is "bacterial SSU rRNA". It matches the Rfam family "Bacterial small subunit ribosomal RNA", at positions 29 to 419 of the family's 1533-position model. The record is from RNAcentral.
AUUGAACGCUGGCGGCAUGCUUUACACAUGCAAGUCGAACGGCAGCACGGGCUUCGGCCUGGUGGCGAGUGGCGAACGGGUGAGUAAUGCAUCGGAACGUACCGUGUAAUGGGGGGAUAACGUAGCGAAAGUUACGCUAAUACCGCAUACGCCCUGAGGGGGAAAGCGGGGGAUCGUAAGACCUCGCGUUAUACGAGCGGCCGAUGUCGGAUUAGCUAGUUGGUGGGGUAAAGGCCUACCAAGGCGACGAUCCGUAGCGGGUCUGAGAGGAUGAUCCGCCACACUGGGACUGAGACACGGCCCAGACUCCUACGGGAGGCAGCAGUGGGGAAUUUUGGACAAUGGGCGCAAGCCUGAUCCAGCCAUGCCGCGUGAGUGAAGAAGGCCUUC